CACGACUGAAGCGACUUAGCAGCAGCAGCAAUCUGACAAAGAUGGAACUAACAGUAACCAUAUGAGGUUUAUAUGAAUUUAUAAGUAAUGUGUCUCUAUAACUACUUCCAGUAUUUCUAAAUUAGAAGCAGCUUUCAGAACCUCAGUAUACAGUGCGUGGUUCCUUUAAAAUGUAUGAAUUUUGUUGUUGGGAAAUGCAUGCAUAUAAGAAUUGAGUCCAUUCUGCAAUAAAGCAAUAGCGUCUAGAAAAAAAGUGAGCGAAUUGCUUGGAUCUAAAAAGGCUUAGAAACACAGCAACCACAUGUUAUAUGGACCUUGUUUAGAUAGCCUGAAACCAAUUUAUAGUCUUUUAUGGGCUUCCCUGGUGGCUCAGACGGUAAAAGAAUCUACCUGCAAUGCAGGAGACAUGAGUUAGAUCCCUGGGUUGGGAGUUGGAAAACCCACUCCAGAAAAGCCUGGCAGGCUACAGUCUAUGGACUCGAAAAGAGUCAAGACUGCAGGAUUCCAGUUAUUUGAGGAAUUUAAAGACGUCGGCUCAAGACAGAAGGUAGAAUGGGGUGGGAAGGGAGAGUGGGGAGUUACUGUUUAAUGAGUACAGAAUUUCAGUUUGGGAUGAUGAAACCGUUCUGGUUACGGAUGGUGGUGAUGGUUACACAACCGUGAGUGUACUUAAUGCCACUGAACUGUACAACUAAAAAUUUUUAAA
This 706-nucleotide long non-coding RNA is filed under the name Bos taurus (domestic cattle). RNAcentral's name for it is "long non-coding RNA NONBTAT028714". Lineage: Eukaryota; Metazoa; Chordata; Mammalia; Artiodactyla; Bovidae. The record is from RNAcentral.